Molecule: long non-coding RNA, 523 nt
Organism: Daphnia magna
Lineage: Eukaryota; Metazoa; Arthropoda; Branchiopoda; Diplostraca; Daphniidae
Exons: 2
Source: RefSeq, a predicted model, not a curated record
ACAGGGCCAUGACAAGAUGACUAUCUCACCACAGGGCUUUAAGUUUUUGAUUACGUCACUAGUAGCUCACUCGGUGUAAAAAAAAGGGCUUGGGAAUAGCUUAACGAACUUACUUGGCUGAGAUGUGAAAUUCUUAAAUCUAUAUGGAUUUAGAUCGUAAUAAUAAGAAAUUGUUGCGCAAUUAAGCCAAGAAGACAACUUUCAAUUCAAACCAGCUGUAACAACUAACAAUGCUGGCUAUCCAACCAAAUCCAACUGCCAAGCAACCACUUGUUUGUAAUCAGUCUCACUUACCAGUUGAAAUGGAAUGUUCCAGGCAAGUAAAGUUGAUUGAAUUGAAGAAUUUAGACACUUGCAUCUUUUUCAACUGCGCGAAAUAUGGUGAUGAUCAAGCAGACGACAAUUAUUCUGUGAGAGCGUGAAGCAUCAGCAUGAACUCAAUUGUUUUACAUAGAUGCCAUCAAAGCGGAAUAAACAAAAAUUUAUGUAGCUAAGAACGCUUAAUAAUUCAUGAUCAUUAUAA